UACAGAGGGUGCGAGCGUUGUUCGGAAUUACUGGGCGUAAAGCGCGCGCAGGCGGCUUUUUAAGUCCGACGGUGAAAUGCCGGGGCUCAACCCCGUGCCCGCCGCGGAUACUGGGAGCUGGAGACAUGUAGAGGCAAGCGGAAUUCCGGGUGUAGCGGUGGAAUGCGUAGAGAUCCGGAAGAACACCGGAGGCGAAGGCGGCUUGCUGGGCAUGGUCUGACGCUGAGG
This 228-nucleotide ribosomal RNA is filed under the name uncultured bacterium. Its description in RNAcentral is "partial 16S ribosomal RNA". It matches the Rfam family "Bacterial small subunit ribosomal RNA", at positions 524 to 751 of the family's 1533-position model. The record is from RNAcentral.